Molecule: ribosomal RNA, 497 nt
Filed under: uncultured bacterium
Lineage: Bacteria
Description: partial 16S ribosomal RNA
Rfam family: Bacterial small subunit ribosomal RNA
Source: RNAcentral
GAUGAACGCUGGCGGCGUGCCUAAUACAUGCAAGUCGAGCGAACAGACGAGGAGCUUGCACCUCUGACGUUAGCGGCGGACGGGUGAGUAACACGUGGAUAACCUACCUAUAAGACUGGGAUAACUUCGGGAAACCGGAGCUAAUACCGGAUAAUAUCUUUAACCACAUGGUUCAAUAGUGAAAGACGCUUUUGCUGUACCUUAUGAUGAGCUCCGGUUCUCUUUAGCAAGUUGUGAGGGUAACGGCCACCAAGGGGAAGGAUGCGUGCCCGACUGGAAGGGGUGACGGCCCAAAUGGGAAUGGAGCAACGCCCCAGACUCCAACGGGAGGAAGCAGUAGGGAAUCUUCCGCAAGGGGCGAAAUCCUGACGGAGCAACGCGGCGGGAUUGAUGAAGGUCUCCGGAUCUAAAACCCUUGUUAUUAGGGAAGAACAAAUGUGUAAUUAACUAUGCACGUAUUGACGGUACCUAAUCAGAAAGCCACGGCUAACUACGUG